Sander lucioperca (pikeperch) is the source of this 1643-nucleotide long non-coding RNA. RefSeq lists it as uncharacterized. The record is from RefSeq and is a predicted model, not a curated record. NCBI's taxonomy places the organism in Eukaryota, Metazoa, Chordata, Actinopteri, Perciformes, Percidae. The transcript has 3 exons.
UUUUUUUUAAUCUGCCUGUGUUAAGUGUGAUGCCAUGUGGGAUAAAAUAUGUGUAUAUAUUAGCUAUAUGUUUUUGUUGUUGAAUUGUGUUGAUUUCCUGUCAUGAGCACACUGAAGCAAAGUCCAACUUGCACUGAGUUGUAUGGCAAUAAAGUAUUGAAUCUUGAAUCUUGAAUCUCACGAACAAGACCCCAAGGUAUUUAAACUCCUUCACUUGGGGUAAAAAAUCUGUCCCUACCUGGAAUAAAGUGUGUGUGUGUGUGUGUGUGUGUGUGUGUGUGUGUUGGGCUGCAGCCUCAUGGCUACAUCUAGUGGACUGAUACUAGAACUACAACACCAGAUAACAGUUUCCUCUGACUGCAUUCACUGACACUGAUGGGAAAGAGACAAGAAGAGACAAUGAGUAGAGGAGCAGCAGGAGAAAUUAUGUUGUGUUUCCUCUGCAGAUGAAAGACUGAGAUCGGCAGCGUAGAUCAGUGUGAGGACAAAGAAACCCCUCCGUGUGGAGAACAGGACAGCCAGACAAAAGCUCAAAGCCUUUAUUUUUAACAGGACAGUGAAGAAAUGAAAGGGCAGAGAGAGGGGGACAACACGCAGCGAAGGAUGGCAGGUCGGAGCGGAUCUCGGGCUCGCCACACCCAGAAGGAAACCUCUAUAAAUCGCCGCCCGCCUUACCAACCGAGCUAUCCAGGCGCCAAAUUGCACUUGCAGCCACAAUACUACUCUCAGUAAUAGCAGUAAUAGCAUGGGCAGUAGGUGCAGUAAGAACUGUGGGUGAAGCAGUAAUAGCCACAACACUAUUGGCAGUAAUAGCAGUAAUAGCAGGGGCAGUAGGUGCAGUAGGAACUGUGGGUGCAGCAGUGAUAGCAGGGGCAGUAGGUGCAGUAGGAACUGCGGGUGCAGCAGUAAUGGCAGGGGCAGUAGGUGCAGUAGGAACUGCGGGUGCAGCAGUAAUUGCAGUAAUAGCAGGGGCAGUAGGUGCAGUAGGAACUGUGGGUGCAGCAGUAAUAGCAGGGGCAAUAGGUGCAGUAGGAACUGUGUGUGCAGCAGUGAUAGCAGGGGCAGUAGGUGCAGUAGGAACUGCGGGUGCAGCAGUAAUGGCAGGGGCAGUAGGUGCAGUAGGAACUGCGGGUACAGCAGUAAUUGCAGUAAUAGCAGGGGCAGUAGGUGCAGUAGGAACUGUGUGUGCAGCAGUGAUAGCAGGGGCAGUAGGUGCAGUAGGACCUGUGGGUGCAGCAGUAAUAGCAGUAAUAGCAGGGACAGUAGGUGCAGUAGGAACAGGAAUUACAGCAAAAACAGUAGCAGCUUUAGCCUUGGGGGCAGGAGUAGUAGGAGUAGCAAGAGUAUGGGUUGUAAAAAAAAUGUAUAUCAAUUGACAGAUUUUUUAAAGGGCCUGCCACUUGGAACCAUAUUGCUGUUUGUUGCAUUCUGCUCAUUGCUGCUGGUAUCAUUUUUUUACCAUGUGCCCUUUGCUGGGACCCUGCUCUUACUUUUGGGGCUAUUACUAAUGUUCUUGUUGUUAGUGUUAUUUUUCUUGCUGUUAUAGGAACAUGUACCUAUACAACCCAGUCUCAUGGCAGUUUGUGAAAUGGUGACGUUAUUUAAUCUAUUGAUUCGUGUAUACCGACACGUUUAUGUAGUUU